AUGCCUCCUUUUUGGGCAUAUUCGCCCCUUUUUGCAGUUCUAGUCAUGUGAUUCGCGUCAGUUGCCCACCCUUUUACCCUGCCCAUUGACUUCUUGCUUCACUGGACACUGCUGUUAGGGGGUAUGGAUUCACUUGAAAGAUGAAAGCAUAUUAGAAAGAGAUUAGCAUAGAGUAUGUGUUUUCUUAUAGCUGCAUUCUUUGAGUUUCCCUCCAAUACCAUCUCCAUCAGAUACACGAUGCUUGAGAGGUAUGACUGUUUUACUGUUUUUGGUCGAUAAGA
Pelobates cultripes (western spadefoot toad) is the source of this 281-nucleotide non-coding RNA. Lineage: Eukaryota; Metazoa; Chordata; Amphibia; Anura; Pelobatidae. The record is from the annotation of a GenBank genome assembly.